Molecule: unclassified non-coding RNA, 314 nt
Filed under: plant metagenome
Description: partial contains 5.8S ribosomal RNA, internal transcribed spacer 2, and large subunit ribosomal RNA
Rfam family: 5.8S ribosomal RNA (bases 1-105)
Source: RNAcentral
GAAAUGCGAUAAUUAAUGUGAAUUGCAGAAUUCAGUGAAUCAUCGAGUCUUUGAACGCACAUUGCGCCCCCUGGUAUUCCGGGGGGCAUGCCUGUCCGAGCGUCAUUGCUGCCCUCAAGCACGGCUUGUGUGUUGGGCUUCCGUCCCUGGCAACGGGUACGGGCCCAAAAGGCAGUGGCGGCACCAUGUCUGGUCCUCGAGCGUAUGGGGCUUUGUCACCCGCUCCCGUAGGUCCAGCUGGCAGCUAGCCUCGCAACCAAUCUUUUUAACCAGGUUGACCUCGGAUCAGGUAGGGAUACCCGCUGAACUUAAGC